RNAcentral lists this ribosomal RNA (253 nucleotides) under uncultured bacterium. Its description in RNAcentral is "partial 16S ribosomal RNA". It matches the Rfam family "Bacterial small subunit ribosomal RNA", at positions 524 to 776 of the family's 1533-position model. The record is from RNAcentral.
UACGAAGGGGGCUAGCGUUGCUCGGAAUCACUGGGCGUAAAGGGCGCGUAGGCGGCGUUUUAAGUCGGGGGUGAAAGCCUGUGGCUCAACCACAGAAUGGCCUUCGAUACUGGGACGCUUGAGUAUGGUAGAGGUUGGUGGAACUGCGAGUGUAGAGGUGAAAUUCGUAGAUAUUCGCAAGAACACCAGUGGCGAAGGCGGCUUACUGGACCGGUUCUGACGCUGAGGCGCGAAAGCGUGGGGAGCAAACAGG